RNAcentral lists this ribosomal RNA (628 nucleotides) under uncultured archaeon. RNAcentral's name for it is "partial 16S ribosomal RNA". It matches the Rfam family "Archaeal small subunit ribosomal RNA", at positions 342 to 1328 of the family's 1478-position model. The record is from RNAcentral.
UCAAAUCUUCACACAUCUCGCAGCGAAAGCGCGAUGACCGUAAUCCCAAGUGUAUGCACGUAAGAAAAAAACGGUUUCUUUGUUAAAAAAGCAUAGAGAGAAAGAGCUGGGAAGACGGGGGCCAGCCCCCGCGGUAAUACCUGCAGCUCAAGUGGGGAUCGUUCUUUUGGGCCUAAAACGUUCGUGGCCGGUUUAAUAAAUGCCUGGGUAAAUCGGGCCGUUCAACGGUACGAAUUCCGGGUAGACUGUUAAACUUGAGACCGGGGGAGGCUAGAGGUACUCCUGGGGUAAAGGUGAAAUUCUGUAAUCCUAGGGGGACCACCAGUGGGGAAGGCGUCUAGUUAAAACGGGUCUGACGGUGAGGGAGAAAGCCUUGGGGGCGCAAACCGGAAUAAAAAACCCGGGUAGUCCAGGUGGGAAACGCCUGUUUGCUUCUUUUUUAUCCGGGUUCCGAGCCCGAUUAGUUUGGGAGAAAAGUUUUUUAAAGAACGCUGCCUGGAAAGUACGUUCGCAAGAUUGAAAACUAAAGGAUUGGCGGGGGAAAGGGCCAAUUCUUUUUAACCUGCAGGACAGGCCUUUUAUGGGGGUUAUUUUGAGGCUCGCCGAACCAUGGCAAGCUGUUCCGGGA